RNAcentral lists this long non-coding RNA (245 nucleotides) under Trifolium pratense (red clover). RNAcentral's name for it is "long non-coding RNA (TPRA_LNC009387)". The record is from RNAcentral. Lineage: Eukaryota; Viridiplantae; Streptophyta; Magnoliopsida; Fabales; Fabaceae.
GAGGUUUUGUUAUUGGGAAUGCGAAAGGGCGCAUUUACUGCUUUGAUUUUUACGAGGGAGUGUAAGGACCAUUGGAUCAAAGCGUCUCUUCACUCCCCUGGCUUGAUCUAUAUAAUAGAGGAGAGUGAACCUCAUUCUUACUUUUCACUCUCUCUCUUCAAUUGUGAAUUCUCUGAAGUUUCAACUUACUAGUCAAAUCGUUCCCCAGAUUUCAUUCGUAUUCAAGGUAAUUCUUUCAAAUUUUC